This 466-nucleotide ribosomal RNA is filed under the name uncultured bacterium. RNAcentral describes it as "bacterial SSU rRNA". It matches the Rfam family "Bacterial small subunit ribosomal RNA", at positions 348 to 806 of the family's 1533-position model. The record is from RNAcentral.
GCAGCAGUGGGGAAUUUUGGACAAUGGGCGCAAGCCUGAUCCAGCCAUUCCGCGUGAGUGAAGAAGGCCUUCGGGUUGUAAAGCUCUUUCAGUAGGGAAGAAAAGGCGCCCUCUAACAUAGCGCGUUGCUGACGGUACCUACAGAAGAAGCACCGGCUAACUACGUGCCAGCAGCCGCGGUAAUACGUAGGGUGCGAGCGUUAAUCGGAAUUACUGGGCGUAAAGCGUGCGCAGGCGGUUAGUUAAGUCAGAUGUGAAAUCCCCGGGCUUAACCUGGGAAUUGCGUUUGAUACUGGCGGGCUAGAGUGCGGCAGAGGGGGGUGGAAUUCCACGUGUAGCGGUGAAAUGCGUAGAUAUGUGGAGGAACAUCAGUGGCGAAGGCGGCCCCCUGGGCCAAGACUGACGCUCAGGUGCGAAAGCGUGGGGAUCAAACAGGAUUAGAUACCCUGGUAGUCCACGCCGUAAA